CCGAGUGGUGAUUUAAAUAAUACAGAUUCGUUUCCUGUUUGAUAGAUGACUGUGCUGAGGCACAUUGCCAGUGACCUAUAUGCCAGCCCUCAUACAUCUUUCAGAAUACGUGAUCCCGUGGUAAAAAGUUUGUCACAAGUCUACAUACUGCUGCCCUGCCUACGUUUGCCAAGUUUCUCUUGAGCUUCUUCACCUCAUGACUUUUACUGUGAUCUUCAUAUUGUUAAAUUGGAGGAACUUGCAUAUAAAAUAUGUUUAGCA
This is a non-coding RNA of Rattus norvegicus (Norway rat), 261 nucleotides long. The record is from RefSeq and is a predicted model, not a curated record. Lineage: Eukaryota; Metazoa; Chordata; Mammalia; Rodentia; Muridae.